This 254-nucleotide ribosomal RNA is filed under the name uncultured bacterium. RNAcentral's name for it is "partial 16S ribosomal RNA". It matches the Rfam family "Bacterial small subunit ribosomal RNA", at positions 524 to 776 of the family's 1533-position model. The record is from RNAcentral.
UACGUAGGCAGCAAGCGUUGUUCGGAGUUACUGGGCGUAAAGGGUGUGUAGGCGGUUCUUUAAGUUUGGUGUGAAAUCUCCCGGCUCAACCGGGAGGGUGCGCCGAAUACUGAGGGACUUGGAGUGCGGGAGAGGAAAGUGGAAUUCCUGGUGUAGCGGUGAAAUGCGUAGAUAUCAGGAGGAACACCGGUGGUGUAGACGGCUUUCUGGACCGUAACUGACGCUGAGACACGAAAGCGUGGGUAGCAAACAGG